AUGAACGCUGGCGGCGUGCCUAAUACAUGCAAGUCGAGCGAACAGACGAGGAGCUUGCUCCUCUGACGUUAGCGGCGGACGGGUGAGUAACACGUGGAUAACCUACCUAUAAGACUGGGAUAACUUCGGGAAACCGGAGCUAAUACCGGAUAAUAUAUUGAACCGCAUGGUUCAAUAGUGAAAGACGGUUUUGCUGUCACUUAUAGAUGGAUCCGCGCCGCAUUAGCUAGUUGGUGAGGUAACGGCUUACCAAGGCAACGAUGCGUAGCCGACCUGAGAGGGUGAUCGGCCACACUGGAACUGAGACACGGUCCAGACUCCUACGGGAGGCAGCAGUAGGGAAUCUUCCGCAAUGGGCGAAAGCCUGACGGAGCAACGCCGCGUGAGUGAUGAAGGUCUUCGGAUCGUAAAACUCUGUUAUUAGGGAAGAACAAAUGUGUAAGUAACUAUGCACGUCUUGACGGUACCUAAUCAGAAAGCCACGGCUAACUACGUG
RNAcentral lists this ribosomal RNA (496 nucleotides) under uncultured bacterium. RNAcentral's name for it is "partial 16S ribosomal RNA". It matches the Rfam family "Bacterial small subunit ribosomal RNA", at positions 29 to 507 of the family's 1533-position model. The record is from RNAcentral.